UUCCGGUUGAUCCUGCCGGAGGUCAUUGCUAUCGGGGUCCGAUUUAGCCAUGCUAGUCGUGCGAGUUUAGACUCGCGGCGUAUAGCUCAGUAACACGUGGCCAAACUACCCUACAGACAGGACCAACCUCGGGAAACUGAGGCUAACACCUGAUACGCGUUGUCUGUUUGAAGACGACGACGCUCAAACGCUCCGGCGCUGUAGGAUGUGGCUGCGGCCGAUUAGGUAGAUGGUGGGGUAACGGCCCACCAUGCCGAUAAUCGGUACGGGUUGUGAGAGCAAGAGCCCGGAGACGGAAUCUGAGACAAGAUUCCGGGCCCUACGGGGCGCAGCAGGCGCGAAACCUUUACACUGCACGCCAGUGCGAUAAGGGGACCCCGAGUGAAAGGGCAUAUCGCCCUUUCUUUUCUGAACCGUAGGGAGGUUCAGAACAAGAGCUGGGCAAGACCGGUGCCAGCCGCCGCGGUAAUACCGGCAGCUCAAGUGAUGACCGAUUUUAUUGGGCCUAAAGCGUCCGUAGCUGGCCGCGCAAGUCUGUCGGGAAAUCCACCCGCUCAACGGGUGGGCGUCCGGCGGAAACUGUGCGGCUUGGGACAGGAAGGCUCGAGGGGUACGUUCGGGGUAGGAGUGAAAUCCUGUAAUCCUGAACGGACCACCGAUGGCGAAAGCACCUCGAGAGGACUGAUCCGACAGUGAGGGACGAAAGCUGGGGUCUCGAACCGGAUUAGAUACCCGGGUAGUCCCAGCCGUAAACGAUGUUCGCUAGGUGUGACACUCACUACGAGUGAGUGUUGUGCCGCAGGGAAGCCGCUAAGCGAACCGCCUGGGAAGUACGUCCGCAAGGAUGAAACUUAAAGGAAUUGGCGGGGGAGCACUACAACCGGAGGAGCCUGCGGUUUAAUUGGAUUCAACGCCGG
Molecule: ribosomal RNA, 917 nt
Filed under: uncultured archaeon A140
Lineage: Archaea
Description: bacterial SSU rRNA
Rfam family: Archaeal small subunit ribosomal RNA
Source: RNAcentral